This 71-nucleotide ribosomal RNA is filed under the name Paraburkholderia caribensis. RNAcentral's name for it is "partial 16S ribosomal RNA". RNAcentral also lists the same sequence under 1 other name. Lineage: Bacteria; Pseudomonadati; Pseudomonadota; Betaproteobacteria; Burkholderiales; Burkholderiaceae. The record is from RNAcentral.
UAACAGGUUUGAACUGAAGAGUUUGAUCCUGGCUCAGAUUGAACGCUGGCGGCAUGCCUUACACAUGCAAG